GCCUGGGUGGCUCAGUUGGUUAAGCAUCUGACUUCAGCUCAGGUCAUGAUCUCGCAGUUGGUGAGUUCAAGCCCUGCUUCAGGCU
RNAcentral lists this transfer RNA (85 nucleotides) under Felis catus (domestic cat). It matches the Rfam family "tRNA". Rfam says of the family: Transfer RNA (tRNA) molecules are approximately 80 nucleotides in length. Their secondary structure includes four short double-helical elements and three loops (D, anti-codon, and T loops). Lineage: Eukaryota; Metazoa; Chordata; Mammalia; Carnivora; Felidae. The record is from Rfam by way of RNAcentral.